CACACAAGUGUGUGUGUCUGGAUUGAUACAAGCACAGGGCGACCAGGAGAAAACCCCCACAACCCUAGUUCACACUUAGUCUCUCAAAUUGAAGAUCAAAAUCCGUUCUAAAUCAAAAUCCGAGCACGGAAUAGUGAUCCCCACUGAAAAAGGAGUCAUAAGGAAAGGAAGCCGGAGCGUCUAGUGGACAAGCCAGUGGUGAAGCACGAUUGAAGGGUUUGCUUUGAAGGUC
This is a long non-coding RNA of Helianthus annuus (common sunflower), 232 nucleotides long. RefSeq lists it as uncharacterized. The transcript is spliced from 2 exons. Lineage: Eukaryota; Viridiplantae; Streptophyta; Magnoliopsida; Asterales; Asteraceae. The record is from RefSeq and is a predicted model, not a curated record.